RNAcentral lists this ribosomal RNA (253 nucleotides) under uncultured bacterium. Its description in RNAcentral is "partial 16S ribosomal RNA". It matches the Rfam family "Bacterial small subunit ribosomal RNA", at positions 524 to 776 of the family's 1533-position model. The record is from RNAcentral.
UACGGGGGGGGCAAGCGUUGUUCGGAAUUACUGGGCGUAAAGGGCGUGUAGGCGGCCAACUAAGUCCGACGUGAAAUCCCCAGGCUUAACCUGGGAACUGCGUCGGAUACUGGAUGGCUUGAAUUCGGGAGAGGGAUGCAGAAUUCCAGGUGUAGCGGUGAAAUGCGUAGAUAUCUGGAGGAAUACCGGUGGCGAAGGCGGCAUCCUGGACCGACAUUGACGCUGAAGCGCGAAAGCCAGGGGAGCAAACGGG